AACGCACAUUGCGCCCCUCGGUAUUCCGGGGGGCACGCCUGUCCGAGCGCCAUUACACCCCCCAAGCUAGGCUUGAUGUUGGGCUACGUCCUCGCUCGCGGGGACCGGCCUUGAAUGCAUGGGCGCCGCCGGCGGGACCACGAGCGUAGCAAGACCUUCACACGUCGUUCGCUCUGUGGGCUCCAGCCGCGUGGUCUGCCGAACCACGAUCUUCGGAUCGACCAACCAAAGUUUGGCCUCGGAUCAGGCGGGGUUACCCGCUGAACUUAA
RNAcentral lists this unclassified non-coding RNA (270 nucleotides) under uncultured Venturiales. RNAcentral's name for it is "sequence contains 5.8S rRNA gene, ITS2, 28S rRNA gene". The record is from RNAcentral. Lineage: Eukaryota; Fungi; Ascomycota; Dothideomycetes.